GUUUCAAACUCUGGAUGUGAGCAGUUUAUUUCUGAAUCCAAGGAGAAGAGGGAGCAUGCCAGCAGGGUCUUGAUGUGCCACAAAGGGGUGCUCUGGGACGGCACCCUGCUAUUGGGAGCUACACCAACCCCUGCAUGCUAGUUCUGCGCACAGUAGUGCCGCUGAAUGCAAAGCGGGAGUUUCAUCUUGUCUUUGCUUGGACUGUUUCACCCUCCUCUGAAUUGCUGCCCCCUCUUUGAGAGGUGGUUGCUUAUCAUGCCUGUAGACUUCUGUUCUUCUAGGGACCCCAGCGAUAGGAAGUGGGGAAAUCAUGCCAUGAACUGUUUCUCCCUUGGGUCCUGCUGGCCAGAGGUCAGCUGGAUAGGGGAGCUUUCUGCCCCUUCCGGUCCCAUUGCUGGAGAGGGAGAUGCAGAGCCUGUGUAGGGUAUGGGACCCUGACAGGAGUCUGCUCUGCCCGUGUCCUCUUUCCCCUUGCGUACUCACCGGCAGCAUUGUGCUGAUGGUACAUGAUGAGCUCCGGGAUGGUGUUGAAGAGGUGCUUUUCUGCCAGGUAAUACUGAUUCUGGGGCGUGGAGCACACCACGUAAUGGCGGAUCACUCCUUGCAGGUCCCUGCAGAAUUGAUCACACUCCGAACUCCAGUCACAUAUGGAAAUCUC
This is a long non-coding RNA of Dermochelys coriacea (leatherback sea turtle), 658 nucleotides long. RefSeq lists it as uncharacterized. The transcript has 3 exons. NCBI's taxonomy places the organism in Eukaryota, Metazoa, Chordata, Testudines, Dermochelyidae. The record is from RefSeq and is a predicted model, not a curated record.